UCUAACCCCCGUCCACAACCUCUGCCCUUACAUGUAUCAGGUUAGCCUGGUCUCAGCGAGGGCACAUUUUGGCCUCCUGUGAAGUUGCUGCUGGGCUACCGCAGUUUGUUUGUCUGAUAGGGACACUUGACUUGAAUGUUCAGACCAGUGGUAUGUAAACUGAUUUGUCUUUGGAUAAAUAUUUAGAUGUCUCCCCGCUACUCCCGUUUUUUUCCUCUGGUAUAUCCAACAGGUAGUGUUGGUUUUGGAUUUACUCACCCUCUGAGGAUGAGUUCAAAGGGGUGCUCUCCUGCCAUUUAACAGGAGCCAGUGAUGUGUGGUUCGCCUAUAAGUCUGGGUGAGAUUGAAAAACGAUAAGGAGGAUUAUUAAAGACCUUCCUCCGAGAGGGAGAAACCCCAGUGUCUCAGGGUUUCUUGGCCAGCAGUAGCAGCAGCCUCACCGACCCUGCACGGCUGUAUUUAUAGAGCGCUGUGGAUGAGUCAUUUGGCUGAGUGCCCACUGUGCUUGAUUUACGAUACCCCCACCUCUCCCCUUAUCCACCACCAACUCCCACCCCACCCCUCACACUACUUCCUUCACAGACAAGCAGACACACCAUCUUGCCUUCGGCUCUGCUGUCUCACUCAGUUUCAUUCGGCCGCUCUUUCCUGCACUUCUUUCGUGUGUGUUUUAGAAAUAUGCUUCCUCUGCUCUUUCAGCUCCUUUGACAGAAGUACAUGUAGGGGAAAAGGCUACCCUGGGAGGCAGACAGUCUAGCCUUAGCCUGACCUUACCUAAGUGCCGCUGAUUGGUGUGUCACAUUGACUUGUCUUUGACUUGACAAAAAAGAUGGAAGUUUUGGGUGAAAGAGUUAUAUGAGGUGGAGGAGAGGCAAAGGGAGGAGGGGGAGAGUUGGAGGGACAGUAGUAAGUGCAGUGGUGUGUGUUUUAGCUGAAAAAGAAGGAGCUAAAUCUAUCUGUGGCACAGAACAAGAACAGAUGAAGAAGUGGCACUGGGGGGCCAGCGGUCACCAGCGACAGUGUGGCUUUUGCUUCCUCACUCCUCACCAGAGAAGGGGGCACAUCUUCCUCUGCGCCCCAUGGAUCUUAACUCCAACCCAGCUUCCCUGCAUCCCCCCACCCCCUGCACUGCAGCCCUCUCAGGCUCACAGUGCUUGGGCCAGAUUUGUCAGAGAAAACAACGAGGAUGUGGAGCGGCAACGCAGACAGGACUGCUGCGAUGGCCAAAAUGAAAACACGCUUAUCUUGCCGAAGCUGAUGGACACUGUCCGUUGGCUGUCCAAAUAGUUCGGGUGAUGAGUCAACAGGAGGUUUUAUGGGCUGCCUCCAAGGUUGGCCAUCACACAAAAAUGACCCAACCAUGAUUUUAUUGUACUGUGACACUGGAUCCUUCUUCUCUGGGAGCACAAAAAUUGUGUCAUUCAUAUUCCACGUUCCACCUCAUCAGUCACAAAGUGGAAAUAUGAAGUGGUAGGAAAGGCUCGUGCAGGGUGAUGAUUGAUGAAUGUCAGAUCUAUCUCUAUUUUCUAUCACAAUAAUGUUCACCUCUGACAGGCUCUUCAAUCUCUUAACGCAAUCUAGCAAAUGAAAAUGUUGAUUAAUGCUUCAUGACACAUGACUAGAAUGAAUUUGUUUUAUGAUGAAAUUACUUCAGACGAAUGAAAAUCAUGAGAACGUUUUUUUUAUUACCCAGCUGUAAAGACCUUCUUUCAUCACAUUUUUGUUGAAUUUCUCUGACCAAAGAUCCUCACUAACAGCACAUCCAGAGCCUAAAUUAAAAACAAGGCUGUCUCAGUCUCCUUUUUGCUCAUGCGUCCUCCUUUGCAGACUCUUCCCUUCAGUUCUCAUCGAAACAAACAGAGCCAGCAGGCUGCUCUGCCUCCAUUAGUCACAAUAAACUAGAAGUCAGGUUUCUAUAACCCUGCCUGAAAGGUUCAAAGGGCUUCUCCCAGAGGCCAGGCUGACACAACCUACCAAUUUUGGCUGUGGGGAGUGCAGGUGUGCAUCUGCCCCGAAGCCCUCAUCAGUGCUGAAAGGUGAUAUUAGGAGGUAUUAGUGAGUGGAGCAACAGGCACUUUGUCAGGUCCACUCCUUGUUUCCUUCUCUGGUGUGGAUAAGAGGAGGUUCAUCCCCUUCUCUGAGUGCCAGGAUGUUUGUCUGGGGCUGUUCCUUCCAACAUAAUUGCUGUUGGAUGUUUAUCUUUUCUUUAUAUUAGUGAUUAAGAUGAAAUCCCGAAAAACUUUUGCAAACAAAGAGGCAGAUUGACGUGAGCGACAUGUUAUGCUGCGAAAUAAAAUACAAUAAACUUUU
Long non-coding RNA from Lates calcarifer (barramundi perch), 2310 nucleotides. RefSeq lists it as uncharacterized. The record is from RefSeq and is a predicted model, not a curated record. NCBI's taxonomy places the organism in Eukaryota, Metazoa, Chordata, Actinopteri, Centropomidae. The transcript is spliced from 2 exons.